CUCAUAUCCUAGAGCUCUCUUCCUACAGCCUCUAACAGCCUAUUACAUAGGCCUCUCUGUCUUCAUUUGCUUUCACUCCGACUAGAAUUGGAGCACCUCAAGGUACAGAGGAAAGACCAUGUGAAGACACAGGAAGAAGGUGACUGCCUACAAGCCCAGGACAGAAACUUCAGAAGGCAUCAACCUUGCUGACAGCUUGAUCUUGGAGACUCAGCCUACAGAAUUUGCUCUGCAGAACGUAAAUUAAAACCACUCACCUAAGGCAGCUGGCCACAGCAGCACAGAAGGAGUUUUUAGAGAAAGAGAUUCUAAUAAAGGAAUUUGAAAAUUAAUAGAGAGUAGGAAGAGAAGUUACCGGAGAGGAUAGUGCCAUACUAGAUAACAAAAUAAAGAGCUAAAAACACAGGAGAGAGCAGCACAAAGCCUCAAGAUCCUCAAAAGAGUUGAGCAAGAUGAAUGCUGAGACUUGUCCCCUGGAUUGGGAAAUAGCAGGACACGGAUGCCAUUUUUGCAGGGUGGCUUGAUGGAGUAAAUGAAGGGAGGCGGUCAGACUGAAAUGGAGUGGAUUCACAGUUUAGAGUUUUCUUUCUAGAAGCUCAGCAGAGAAAGAAAAGAAACAGAAGAAAUAGAAGAGAAUGUUUUGACAGGACACUUUAAUCGCAGAAGUUUAUGGUAGUUUUAUUCGUUUGUUUUUACGAGAACAGAGAUUUGAGUAUCUCUAUAGCCUGAGGGAAAAAGCCAAGAAGUAGUAAAUUGUUGCAGGUGGGAAGCCGAGAGCACCUUGCUGGGGAGACGGGAACCUUGCAAUCAGGUCAUGGAAAGGGAACGAGGUGUGAAUGGAAGGAUCUGAAGCUGAUCUCCUAAGAGUGGAGGACAGAAGGGAUUAAGAAAACAACUGGGCAGGAAGCAUGUGGUAAUUGAAGUGGCACACUGCUGCGCAGAGGUUGCUCUGGAAGUGGUGUGUGCUGAGAUCAGAUUUUCAUGUAUUGUGCCUUUCACGGUAUCACAGAACCAAGAUACAUGUACAGGGAAUGAUAUUAAGUGUUAAAUAAAAGCUGUAUAGACAUUGGGAAUUAAACUAGAAGCUGCUUACAUCCAGUGGAGCAAGGAAAAUCGAAAAACUCAAAGAAAAAUGGCAAAAGAAAUUGUUUCCAGACAAGGAAAUGAAAACAUCAUCAAAUAUUAGAGAAAGAGCAAUUCCCAGGAAAUAAUUAUCCCAAAAUGCAAAAUAAAAUUUAGGGAAUGUGUUGAUCCUCAUUAAUGAAGAACCAAGGAAAGUUUUUUAUUAAACAAGAGCAGAAAUCUCCAAGGCGAAGCUGAGAUAAAUGAGCAAGAGAAUGAGUUAUAAAGUAAAACAUACUGCCUAAUGCCCCUGCCACCCUGCAGACUGCCCGGGCAUUUCCUCUGCAGCACUGGAGUUACAUGAGUAUCAAGGGUCCAUUGUUGUUCACCCCUAGUUCUAGAAUGCUAAGCUCAGUGCUUUGAAAAGGCUCCUGUAAAGAAAACAAAACUGCCAUCUACACUGAGUCAUGUCAUCUGACUCGGUAGCGGUGAAGAUGUGUGGAGUUUAGCAUCUGAAGGUGCAAUGAACAUGUAUGCUUUAAAUGCACACGGAUAAGUAGAUGGACAAAGAGAAGAAAAUACUGGAAGACUCACAAGAAGAUUAGGCCUGAGCUAACAUCUGCUGCCAAUCCUCCUCUUUUUGCUGAGGAAGACUGGCCCUGAGCUAACAUCCAAGCCCAUCUUCCUCUACUUUAUAUGUGGGAUGCCUGCCACAACAUGGCGUGCCAAGCGGUGAAUAGGUCCACGCCCGGGAUCUGAACCGGCAAACCCCUGGCUGCUGAGAAGCGGAACGUGCGAACUUAAACCUCUGCACCACCAGGCCGGACCGAGAAUAAUAAAAUUCUAAGUGCAGAUUUGUAAGGUGGUCAGAAUAGGUGUUGCCCUUCCCCCUUACCCAUCAUUCCUUUUUAAUAUGCACACAGACAUAAUAAUUCCCAGAAAGUGAGCAGGUAGCAACUGUGGGGUUAGGGUUGGGGGUGCCUAAUGGUGUUCGCGUCAUUCUAGGAGGAAUAGUUCUAAUAAAAAAUGCUGAAGGCAAAACAAAAAGACACAUUCCUAAGUGAAAGAUAGAGGGCUGGACUGGGAAUUGUGCACAUCACUGCCUGAGAAGAGAAACUGAUCAAGACCCAACUAAAAGAGACGCAUACUAAAGGUAAGCCCACAUAUUUUGUUUAUUGAAAAAUAUUGGGGGGAUCAAUUCUUGCUCUUUCAACAUGAGCUGUAAGAAAAAGCAUACUGUUGAAGAAGUAAAAGAAAAGGAUCUCUAAAAGAUUGGGGAACAGCACAUAUGCGACAGUGGUUUCUCACUGGAACCUGCGGUAGUUAUAAGGGAGACCACAAGCAUUAGCCAUCUGGAUUGUGGGCUUCCCUCACGGUGCAGUGAGAUUAUCUCGACAACCAUGACUUCUUGAGCGAGUGGUAGCUUUCCUGAAAAGAGGGUGGAUGGCUAAACAGAAGGACAUACCACCCCAGCACUGGCUGGACCUUCAUCUGUAAUCUUGGGUUAUUCGUCUUCCUGAGUAGAAAAGAAAAAUAGCAUAAACAUGAACAGUUUCUUGAAGAGACAACUUUAGGAUUUUCUUAUAAGCAACAAACAAGGAAAAAAAUAAGUGAAAAAGCUCCCUGUAUGGUUCCAUUAGUGUUAUGGACUGAAUUGUAUCUUCCCUGGAAUUCAUGUGUUGAAACUCUAACCUCUAGUACCUCAGAAUGUGUCUUGAAGACCUUAGAGUGGCCCAUAAUCCAAUCUGGUUGUCCUUUAUAAGAAGAGGAAAUUUAGAUGCACAGAGAGACACCACAGGUGCACAGUCACAGAAGGAAGACCAUGUGAGGACACAGUGAGAAUGUGCCCCCUCCAAACCAAGGAGAGUGACCUCAGAAGACUCAAACCUGCUGACAUCUGGAUCUUGCUCUUCCAGCCUCCAGAACUGUGAGAAAAUGAAAGUCUCCUGUUUAAGCCACCCGUAUGUGGUAUUUUGUUAUGGCGGCCCUAGAACACUUGUAUAGUUAGUAACCAAAACGCACGCAAAAUCUCUCAAAAUGUAACAGCUUUCUUUUUCUUUUUUAACUCUAUAUUUUGAACCACUAAACUGUUCUCCAUCUCUGCAACUGUAUUAUUUCAAGAAUGUUACAUAAAUAGAAGCAAACAUUAUAUAAACUUUUGAGAUUGGCUGUUUUCACUCAGAACCAUUCUCUUGAAACUCAUCCAAGUAUUGUGGGCAACAAUAGUCCAUUCUUUUUUAUUGUUGAGUAAGAUGCCGUGAUAUGGAUGCACCACAGUUAGUUUAACCAUUCACUAUUGAAGGAAGUUUGAGCUGCUUCCAGUUUGGGGCUAGUACAAGUGAAGCUACUACUAACAUUCAUGUACAGGUUUUCAUGCAGAUAUGUAAGUUUUCAUUUCUCUGGAAAACAUGUUGCAGUGUGUGAUUACUGAGUCAUAUGGUAAGUAGUUUUACUUUUAUAAGUGCUUUGCUGUUUUCCAGAAUGGCUGUACCACUUUACACCACCCCCAGAAAUGCAUGAGAGGUCCAGUUUCUCUGCACCAACAAAUGAAUAGUGCAUGUGCUAUAUAAAAAUUUUCAGAACAUCAAAGUAUGGAAAUCGUCUUUUAUUUUGUGAGGUUAGCAUGCCUGGUGCACCAAAACCCGGUAGUGUGCUGGUAAGCUGACGCUCCGGAAUUUAAGAGAAAAAAAAAUGGCCUCGAUUUAUAGCACUUGCCUAUUUGCAAGGUGUAGGUAUCCCUGCCAAGGCUGGUGUCAAACUACCACAUGACUUCACUGAGAGAAAAGUUGAGAAGAUGUGCAUACAAGUGGUUCUUGCAUGGUGCAGUUCUGGUACACUGCUGCACAGAAGCGCAUAGGCAUUCGCGCGCACACACACACACACACGCAGAUUUAUCUCCUUCAUGAAUAUAGAUAGAAAUUUAAAUAAACCAGUGGUGUGAAUUUAGUGACACAAUGACAUAAUCAAAUGUAGACAGACAUAAAAUAAAAAGUAUAUCAUGGUAUAACUUUGGAAAUAAAAAGUGCAUAUUAGUGUAUUUAUGGAAUAAAAGAAACCGAAAACAGAAAAAUGUUAAUAGCAUUUAUUUCUGGGUAGUUGGAUGAUGAAUGAUGUUAGCUUUCCCGAUUAUGUUUUCCUUGAUAUCCCAAAUUCUUUUCAAUGAACAUGUUUUCUUUUAAUCAAAAUUAAAUAAUAUAUGUUAUUAUAUUUUAAGGUUUAAAAUUUGACAGGACAAAGUUAUGAAAGAACAUAGAGCAAAGCAAAACAUGGAUAAGUGGCAGUACUGUAUAAUGGACUACAGAUUCAGCUCAGAAAUAAUGAAGUUUAUUUUAAAUGGAAACUAAACAAGAUCACAAGGAGCAAAUCAGAGAUGUUUCCAGGAGAAAAUAGAUUUGAGCAUGACUUUCCCCUCCUUCCCAUCUAAGGAAAAUUCUCGAAGAGAUUCCAUACGUACCUACGUUUGUAUCUAUGUCAGAGAAGGCGAGACAGACAAGUCCUGGGAGGCAGCUUGCUGUUGUGAAGGAAAAAUGAAGUGCAUCAGAUGAUCCUGAGUUUGGAUCCUCUUCCUUCCUACGAUAUUUGGGGCAACUCACCCCCUCGAAGCCUUAGUUUCUUCCUCUCUAGCAUGGGACUAAUAUUCUUGCUUGAUUAGAAGGUUAAAUGAAGCAAUGUAUGUUUUACAAAGACUUUCCUAGAAGUUCUGUCUUAUUUUAUUUGAAAUCAUAAACCACGAAAAUCUCUGUGUAAGUUUUUACAACGAUGACAUUAAAGAUUACUGGGACAGGAAAUAUUUCACUUAGAUGAACUAGAUGGGAUUUUUAAAAAGAUUAAUUUUAAGUGAAAAGAGAGAUUAUAUGAUGUUUAAAACAUGUGUAUUAUAUUUUAAAAAUCAGUUACAGGAAGUAAAUUUUUACCUUUUAUAUGAUCCACUCGUUUGUCCAUUCAUUCAACAGAUACUUAUAGAGCACCAACUCGGUGAAAAUCAGCAUUAGUUUAGGAGAAAGUUACUGGAAAAUACAAGAUAAAUGACACCUGGGGUCAAGGAAUUUUCAAUAACUUCAACAGAUGGCAUUUUGCACAUUUCAGAGCAGUGCAGACAGCAAUGGCCAGUACUGUUGUCUCUGUGUCUAUUUCUUCUGUGGGAAUAUGUACCUCUAGGUCUGUGCCAACUAAUGCUUGAGGUUAGGACAAGCACUUAUUCGCUUGAUAAUAAAAUAGAAUGUAUAAAGUGUACAAUGAAUAUCCUAACUUAUAAUCAUCUAUUCCAGAAUUACUCAAUCUUUCGUUUAUUAGGAUAUGAUAAAAGCAAUACUCAAGUCUUAUCUUCCUGACUGCCUCCCUCUCCUCUAAAAGAGGUAAGUCGUACUAGUGUUUCACAACACUUUCCCCACUAGUUAGCUAUGACCAUUGUAUUAGUCAGCUCAGGCUGCGAUAACAAAAUACCAUCGGCUGGGUGGCUUAAACCACAGACAUUUAUUUCUCACAAUUCUGAAACCUGAGAAGUCCAAAUGCUAAAACUCCAAGGGAUGAAGGGGAAAUGAUCACUGGCAUCUAAACAGCUGCAACAACGAUGGUAUGUAAGGAUAAUAGAGUAUGAUGCAUGAGCUUCAAAUAUGCUCGGGAUUUCCAAGAAGAAGGAGUAACUGACUAGAGGCAGAAAUGAAAAGCAAGAAAGACCUACAGCACAUGGCAUGUGUGAGAGAGACAGCCACCAUCUGAAAAGGCUUCAGAGGACUGCAUAUUGUCGGGGUAAGGCUGGAUUUCAACUAAAGAAAGAAGAUGAAGGGAACUUUUGGAGGAUCGCUAGAGGUUUUAGAGAAAUUUGCCGAUGGCUGCUUGUGAGUUCCAGAGGUCUUCUUCUAGAAUGGAUUUCAAGAGUUGGAGGGGAUGGGAGAUGGACUCAGAAUAACUCAUUCAGAGAUAUAUGGGCCUGCAUUUAUGAGUAUUAGAGACAAGCCAGGAAGUCUCAGCCUUCUCUCUUAGGCUUGUCAAGGUAACAAAGGUAAACAAGAAUAAAUGGUGUGAUGAGAAAAUUCUUACGGUCAGGCAGGCAGACAGAGUUAAAGAGGCUGUGGAUGUUGGGGAUGGGUAAGGAUCUUGCCAUGAGUGUGUGGAGCUCUCCAAUAAGAUGUGUAAUCAAAAGGGGGUCAAAGUUACCAGAAACAUGUAGAAUUUAGAGGAAACACAUUUCAGCUGGAAAUUAUUGGUAUGGAUUUAAACACAUGAUCAGUAAAGUGGCAGUUCUGUAACCUUUUAAAAAUGAACAAAUGAUAG
Long non-coding RNA from Equus caballus (horse), 6336 nucleotides. NCBI's taxonomy places the organism in Eukaryota, Metazoa, Chordata, Mammalia, Perissodactyla, Equidae. The record is from Ensembl.